GGCCUCAGGGUGCAUUUUGCCGUCUGUGUUCUUACAAUGACUGUAUAGAAAAAAAGAGGCAGAGCAUAUGUGCCCCAGCCUGGGAUCUGUGCCUGGUCUGUAAUGUGAAUGGAGACACACAG
This 122-nucleotide small nucleolar RNA is filed under the name Marmota marmota marmota (Alpine marmot). RNAcentral's name for it is "Small nucleolar RNA SNORA51 (ENSMMMG00000021136.1)". It matches the Rfam family "Small nucleolar RNA SNORA51". Rfam says of the family: ACA51 is a member of the H/ACA class of snoRNA that guide the sites of modification of uridines to pseudouridines. Lineage: Eukaryota; Metazoa; Chordata; Mammalia; Rodentia; Sciuridae. The record is from Rfam by way of RNAcentral.